This is a long non-coding RNA of Orcinus orca (killer whale), 12532 nucleotides long. RefSeq lists it as uncharacterized. The record is from RefSeq and is a predicted model, not a curated record. NCBI's taxonomy places the organism in Eukaryota, Metazoa, Chordata, Mammalia, Artiodactyla, Delphinidae. The transcript is spliced from 3 exons.
GGCCUUUUAGAGCCAUCAAUCUGGCUGUUGUGUGGAGGAUGGAUUGGAGGGACGAGCAAUUAGAAGCAAAGAGAUCAGGAGUCUCUUGCAUUUCUUCAGAAGCGAGACAGUGAGAGUUGUGGACAGCGCUGGCAAGGAGUGCUGGGAGUGAAGGACAGAUUGGAGAAACAGUUAAUGGAUAGAGUCAACUGAGAGAAAGAGUUUGCACCCCCUUUCUGACUGCUUCUCUUUCUUCCUUUAUGCCUUUCUGUUUUCCACCGAGGUCUUUGAGCAGAUAUCCAGAACCUGUGAUCAGAAGUAUUUGUGCCAACAUCACGACCUUUAUCUUUGAAAGUAUUUUGAAAUUAGUAACCACAGAUAAUUGAAGAAGCCAACAAGUAGUGGGAGAAGUGGGGGAGGAAACUGUUCUUAAAAAUGAAUUCCAAAAGGGACAGACCAGUUACCUUAGUGGUCAGAUCUGCUCCCAAUUCUACUAGAGGAUUGCGGAUGGAGCUGUGUAUCUGUGCAUCUUUUAUUGCCAUCUUUCCUUUUUAAAAUUUUUAAAUUUAUUUUUUAUUAUUUUUGGCUGUGUUGGGUCUUCGUUGCUGCACGUGAGCUUUCUCUAGUUGCAGCGAGCGGGGGCUACUCUUCGUUGCGAUGCGUGGGCUUCUCAUUGCGGUGGCUUUUCUUGUUGUGGAGCACAGGCUCUAGGCACGUGGGCUUCAGUAGUUGUGGCAUGCAGGCUCUAGAGAGCAGGCUCAGUAGUUGUGGCGCACGGGCUUAGUUGCUCCACAGCAUGUGAGAUCUUCCUGGACCAGGGCUCGAACCCAUGUCCCCUGCAUUGGCAGGUGGAUUCUUAACCACGGCACCACCAGGGAAGCCCUCCUUUUUUAAAAAAAUCCUUUUCUCCUACCAAUAAAAGCAAGCUUGUUAUCCUUUUCAUUUGAGGGUAACUACUAUACCCUCAUUAAGCCCUGUGAUUUCUUCAUUCGUUGUCUAGUCAUAAUCUUAAUUACCCCUGCUUAAAAAAGCUUAACCUACUUAAAGGAGAAAUAACAAACUAAUCCUAGUUUGACAACACAUGUACAUUGCAUCUGGCAUUGGAAGCAAAAGGGUUUACCCAGCACCUAUCACUGUGUGGCUUCCAGGGGGAAAAUGCAAAGAAGCAAAGGCUCAGAGUUAUCUUCCUCUCUUCUCUCUGUCUCAUGCAUGGAGUCAGCUUUGGGAAUGGACUCACUCACUCCAAGCCUGAGCUCCAGAGAACUCCACAGCGCAUGUGCCCUAGGGCCAUCCAGCUUUCUGUAACAGAGAAAUGAAGUAGAACUCCUCCUGGUGAGGCUGUAAAUCAAUUAGAAUUUGAGAAACAUAAAACUGAAAGCCAGAGAGGACUGGCUGCCAGUCACACAGUGUGUCCUUCUGCCACGGCAUUCCUGCCCCAAUGAUAUGGGUACCAAUGUUUAUUCUGUUCUGGCAGAAAAAAAAAAAAAGCCCCAACUGGUGCAGCUCACAGCACUUUGGCUCAGAAGGGACCCAGCACACUCACACACCUGUGCUGCUCAUCCAGCCGUCAGGUUUUGAUGAUGGGAAUUGCAAGACAGUAAAGACAGUGCCUGCUGUUCAUUCAGGGGAAAAAGUGAAAUCUGCAGCUCAGCAGUCUUCUGGGUAAAUGGUGUUCACAGUUUGCUCCGGGCUUCCUGAUGCUUCCAUUUAAACUACUAUUGUUCUGUUUUCCUGGAGGAAGAAGAAAGAAAACGAAAAGUUUUAACUGGGAUUUUUCAGGUGGUGGGGCCUAUUUAUUUGUUUUUAGUGGUGAAAUUGACUUUAUUCAGCACAUUUCUUUUUAUUCCUGGAGAAACAAAUUCAGAGCAUGUGCAGAACCAGGGAAACGGAAGAGGUGAGAUGGAGUAGGUUCUCAGUUCGCUUCCUGCUUACAUGCCUGGAACGUUUCUCUAAGGCAGAAUUUCCUAAACAGGGUGGAUUUCAGUGUUCCAAAAUACUGAUCCUUUCAACUCACAGGUGGCAGGACAAGACCUGAAAGGGCCUCCAGUGGCCUUCUCCAUGUAUCUCAAGUCACUUCCAAAUAUAGUCCUUUUGUGUGUAUAGCAAGAUGUGACAUUUUUAGAGGCACUAAGAAACACUGUUUUAGAGCCUAACAGUCCCAAAUUCUUGGAGAGAAACACAAGAUGGCUAUUUGACCCCAUCAAGCCUCUGGUUUGCUAGGUUGUGUGGAUGUGUAUGUGUUUUACAUAUAUACACAUGUAUGUAUAUAUGUGUGUCUGUACAUAUAUCUAUAGAGAGAAUUAGAGAGUUAAUCAAGCGUGGUGGCUAAUAGCAUAUGCUUUGGAGUCUAGAAGAUUUGGUUUGAAACUCAGUUUCACCAUUAUCUCACUGCAUGCGACCUUGAGCAGGUUAUUAAACCCCUCUGAACCUUGGUUUCCUGGGGAAUAAAUACCUACCUUUCAGGGUCAUGACCUUGAGCAAGUCACACUCUGUUCUUCAGUUUCCUCAUCUGUAAACUGGGAAAAUAAUAGUAUCUAUCUCGAACUUUUGCUGUAAGAAUUAAUAUGUUAACUCAUGUCUUAGUAUAUGAGUUAAUAUGUAUAUAAAUCAGUUAGAACAUUGCCUGUUAUGUGAUUAACUAUGAAGUUGUGAGUCUUCAUUAUCAUUAAUCAUCAUCAUCAUCUCGUAAAAUGUUUAGCACAAUGUUUAUCCUGUUUAGCACAGGAUAGCUAUCAUCAUCAUUAUUAUCAUAGUUAGAUUUGGGGAAGAAAAUGUUUUUGUUCCCACCACAGAAAACCAAAAUGUGUGGAGCUCUGACAAUUGCUGAGAACAUAGGAGAUAAGACUCUUUUCUGAGUGAGUGUAAAGUAGAUGUCAUCUUUGCAGCCUAGAAGAUGAGCUCCAAUGCAGGCCUCUUAUCUAGUCAAAAGUCUCUUCUCUUUACCCCUUUCUUUCCAGCCUCCCUCCAUCAUAUUCCCGUCUUUGUUAAAGCACUUAUCCAUUAAUUCUGCCAAAAAGAAAAAUGGGAAUAUUUGUGUUCUUUGGAACCCUGGCCUGUCCUUGCCAUAUCAAAAAGCCGGCUGCCAAGGAAAAUUUGCCCUGGGGCUCCCUGGCUUCCCCUUGGCAUUCCCGUUCCACUGCUCUCCAUGUUGGCAGUGGAGGGAAACAAUGUUCAUGGGAAGGAGUGUGAAGAGUCAGCAAAAGCUGAGCUGAGCUAAAGUGUUAUUAGAAACAGAAGAAUAACCAACAAAUGGAGCUUUCAGACAGGAAAAUAGAGGCAACCAAGACCAAGUCCAGGUGGGCACCCCCAGGAGUCUUGGGGCAGAUAUAUUGUGCAGGGGUGUGACAUGGCAAAAUGACCCCCUGUGGACUUCUUGUUGCUCCCUGUCAUUCCAUCUCGGGGUCAAUCUACACCAUCUCUAGGAAUCCGAGCAGAGAGCAGCCCCUAGAAGAGGAAUAAAGCAGGAAUCGCUUCCCUGGUUCACCCUCCUUUUCCGCACGCAUGCUGGAUUGUCAGGGAGCUGGUAGAAGAGGGCAUGAGUCAGAACUUGAAUACUCCAACUAGAGUUCAUUCCAAAGCCCUCAGGACAGCAGCCCUGCUAAGGGGCUAGGAGAGCUGCGUGGGAGUCAGAUGGACCUGUGCUGAAAUCCUAACUCUUCUCUGCAACUGAAUGAUCAUACUCAAGUUAUUAAUUUCUCUAAGCCUUGGGACCCGCAUCUGAGACAUGGAAUUAAAGGCAGUUGCACACAUUACAUUGUGCCUGAACCAGUUAAUGUAUGGAAAGAACUUGCCACAGUGGGGCAUCACAGGUGCUUAAUAAAUGGUAGCUGUUGUUAUUCUAUCAUCAUUAUCAUUAACAUUAAAGUCAUGUAUAAACCGCUCUUCAAUGGGUCUGUCCACUGCUACCCCUGAGACAAAAUCUUUUUCCUUUUUUCACUCACAUCUGCUGGCAGCUUCCUGCUGGCCUUUCUUGACUCCUUUUCCUCUUUGAAUACUGCAACUGAUGUUGCUUUAAUCUGGGUUUUACUUGUAUAUAUGUGUUUACUCUUUGAGAUAGUCCUGGGACUCUGAGCUCUCCUUGAGCCACCCUGGUAAGGAGUGAGGUUGGGACAGAACCCAAGUCUCAGAUCUCAUCUCCUGCUCUGAUCCCUCCAAAGUCUUUUCCUGCCAUAUCCAAUCUGACUGAGGAGACUUAUAAACUGCAGAUGCGUUCAUGGGGCACUUGCUAGAGGCAGGAGAAGGGAAAUGAUACCCCCCCACGGAAUGAUCUCUGGGAGGGAAGGUGGAAGGGAGACUGGGUUACACAACAGGGAAAAAUCUUGCUGUCAGUAGCUUCUUAUUGGCAGUUAUUCUGGUUUCUGGUUUUCAAACUGCUGUGCAAAGUCAGCUACUGACAGUUUGGGCUGCCGUUUGAUGAUGGAAGAGGUUCAUAAGCCCAACUGAAGUUCUCCCAAGCCUCCUCCAUGGGAUUGUUUCAAAGAAAAAGAGAAAAAAUGCCAUUGGUAUCUUCUUUUUCCGAAGCUUUGAUAGUCUCUCCAGUUAUCAUUCUGGAAAGGACUCUGAUCUAGUAUUUCAUGAGAAAACCUAAAUGAAGCAUGUAAAAAUAAUCUUCUGUGGGGUCAUAGGAGGGAUGGCAUUAGAUGCUACAGAUGGAAAUGUUGGCUCAAAGGAACUGAGCUUCAGAAUGAACAGGACCCCUUGGACGGUUGUCGACACAGGGUCUCCCCACAGGUCAGAAUAGGGAAAAGGUGGUUCAUCCUCUUAAGUGGCAUGAAAAGAGGGCCUCAGGAUACUUAAAGAGAGACUCUGCAAUGCCAGGAUUCUAAGCCUUACAAAUCUAGCAGAUGUUUUUGGUAGAGAAUUUGGUUGGCUUUGAAAAAGAAGUAGAGGAAGACUUUUAACUCCGCGUGAGGACUCAGUCUUUGAAGGCUGAUUAAACGAAUACGUGGGUAAUACUGUGUGUUUCAGACAUCUCCCUUUCUUCGCUUCUGAACCCAUUUUCAAGUGAUUUUAUCCGAGAGUUUAUUGAAAUGGCUCAGAAUAUAAUUAUAUCUGUCUUCUUGGCCCUACCUGAGGGAUUUGCUCUUUUCCAUCUCUUAUGUCUAACGAAUUCUUGUCACUAAGUUGAAUUUCUGGAAUUAUCUAGCUGACAAAAGUCUAUAAAGUUUAGUGUGUCCUGGACAUAUCUAGUUAAAGAAUCAUAACUAAAUUAAUAUUUACUGUGUUGCAGAGUGGAACUGAGGUCUGCAUCCCCUCACUAGAGGGGGUAAAACAAUGAAAUGCAAUGAGAUGAAGUGAUUCUAUCCUUCCAAGGACAAUUUCCUGUUCAACUUAAGCACCUUAACUUUGGUGGCUAAGCUAAGGACAAUCUACUUUCUUCUUGUCCCUCCCUUAACAAGGAACUUAUUAAUUCAUUCAUUCACUCAACAAAUAUUUAUUGAAUAUCUGCUGUGUGAUAGGAACUUUUCCAGAAGCUGGGAAUAUAGUAGUGAAUAAAACCAAGUUUAUGCUCUCAUGAAAUUAUAUUUUACUAGGAGGCGAUAGACCAAUAACCUAAUGACUAUAUUAUAUAAUGCUGGUGGAGAUAAGUGCUAUGAAGAAAAACAAAGCAGGCUAUCUAGCAGAAGACUUGUUUGGAAAGCAAACUAUUUGACUAGAGAGAAAGUAAAACACUAAUACUUUUUUUUGUUGUUCCUGCACAGUUUAUUAAGUAAAAAGUACAUUUUUAAACCAAAGAAUAAGCCAGGGUUAAUUCUAAAUGCAUUUAUCAUGUGUCUAGUUGCUUUUGGUUUCAGAUUUUUUUUUCUUUAUCACCAGAUAUAUAGCUUGAGAUUUCAUCUGCCUAAAGAAACAUGUUAUCAUUAAGUUAAGUUUUGAUAUAUGGCAGAAAUAACAUGACCAAAGCAUUAACACUUCAGGCAUCCUUCAACCUGUACAGUUUUGCCACUUGAAGGGCUCAGGACUCUCAAAUGAUGUUAGUGGUGCUCAGCAAAGAUAAACACCUUUGUGCGGACAUGGAGACGUGUACUUGUCAUAAAGAGGGAACCGUGUCUCAGGGUCAGGUUUGACUGACCCGUGAACACCAGCACUUACCUCAGAGAUGCGCUGGGCAGAAAUAGGCUUGUGAUGCUGAACCCGACACAUCCAAUUUAUUUCUCCUUCUUUUUUUGGCUUUAAAUCUGCAUUUUAAAAAUCGUGGUAAAAAACACAGAACAUAAAAAAAUUACCCUCUAAUUUUUAAGUGUACAGUACAGUACUGUUAACUAUAUACACAGUGUUGUACAGCAGCUCUCUAGAAUUUUUUCACCUUGUAUCACUGAAUCUUUAGACCCAUUGAACAGCAGCUCCCCAUUUCCCCCUCCCCUGCAUUCUACUUUCUGUUUCUCUGAGUUUGAUUAUGUUAGAUACCUCAUAUAAGUGGAAUCCUACAAUAUUUGUCCUUUUGCGACUGGCUUAUUUCACUUAGCAUAAUGUUUUCAAUUUUCAUCCAUGUCAUAAUGUUGGACAGGAUUUCCUUCUUUUUUAAGGCUGAAUAAUAUUUCAUAUAUAUAUAUAUAUAUAUAUACACACACACAUACCACAUUUUCUUUAUCCAUUCAUUCAUCGAUGGACAUUUCAUUUUGGAUGGUGGAUCCAAAUUUGGGUUUGUGGAUUGUGCUGCGGUGAACAUGAGUAAGCAAAUAUCUCUUCAAAAUCCUGUUUCCAAUUCUUCUGGGUACCAAUUUAGGCAUUCUUGAACCACUGUAUGAUGUGUUGACCCUGAAUGAAAUGCAUGGAUCACUCUCUUUGUAAUUUGCAGUGGUUCCUCCAACCCCCAUACACCAAGUACCAGCUGUCUCCCAGGCUCCGGAGACCCAGAGGAGAAUAGUAAUAAAAGCUAACACUUCUAUGAUGCUGGGCACUCUUUUAAGAACCUUGGGAGGUAAGUACUAUUAUUGUCACUCAGGGAGAAUGCUGAGGCAUACAGUUAACUGGCAAGAAGAAAAUGGGGCUUAGUCUCAGGCAGUUUGACCCCAGAGGCUGUGCUUGUAACCCUUACACUGAACAAUCUCUUCUUUGCCUUCCAAGUGUUCAGGGUAUGGCAGGACGGGGCUGACAGACAAGGAAAUGACCACAUUCAACAGUGCAGGAAUUGCUGCUGUGUAUACGCUCAAACAAUUUGCUUUGGAAACAUGGAGCAAAAAGCACUGAACUCUAUGAAGUUGGGCAGGAUUUUUCUAGAGGCAGAGAGGUUUGUGUUAAAUCCUGACAGGUGAGUGGGAGGAACAAAUGAACAAAGGGGCAUUUAAGGUACCUUCCAGGUAAAACAAAAUCCAUGUUUUUUCACACCUGUUUCGUGCAUACCUGCAUUCAAUACCUGCUGUUCAAUUUGCGUGUGCUAGACCAGACUGCAAGUAUUUUGUGUAUUAUUAAUCCCAAACCCUUGUCACUGGAGGGCAAGUAUAAUAAUCCUCAUUUUACAGGUGAAGAGACUGAAAUUCAGAGAGGUGAAGUAUGGUGCCCAAGAACAUCCAGCCGAAGUCCAAGUCCAGUUUGUCGGACUCUCGAGCUGGUACUCCUGACACUCUGUGAAGUAUAAAGGGAAGACAGAUGAGGUAGAAGUCAAGCUCUUCACCCUUGGAGACCCCUGAGGGUGCAGUUGCCCAGGCAAAGGUGUGGUGUGAGCUGGUCCAACUUGGUCCACUGACUGAUAAACCUGCCUGGAGUACACAGCAGAAAAGGAAAGGUUAAGAACAAGGGCAAGGUAGCAAGCCCUUUCUUUAAAGAAAAGAAAGCGGGGCCUCCCCCCCGCCCCCUACUCCCGAGCUUAGCACUUGGGCACCGCGGUGGAGCUGGGUGUUUGGUUGCCUUGCAGCCACUGUUCUCCUCGGUCUAAGGUUGCAGUGCAAGGCUCCGUUCACCUGACACUACUGAAAAGCGGAGCGAGUGAAACAGUGGCUUAUCACAAGGCACCGGAGGUCUCUGUUUCUGGCUGCGUUCUACUGUGCACUUGGCAUUCUGAAAGCACUUGUAGAUGGACUGCCAAAAUGCCAGCUUUUUUUUUUUUUUUUUUAUAAAUCCAAGGUAGGAUCAGAUUUUCUCUCCAUCCACCCUCCACCCCCUCCCCCAAGGUAGUAAUCGCAUCAUAGGGAAACCUGAGCUGCUUGUUUUUUGCCGCUUGUUCCUAUUUGCCUGGAAAAUACAUUUGCUGGAGAAGAAUCCGGGAGGAGCUCGGUCUUGAUUUAUUGCUCUUUCCCUGUGAAAUUUUUGCUUCUGAGAAUUCUAUUGUGUCAGAACUGGGGUGGGAUUUAGGUCUUGCUCUCAAGGACCUGAGUCUUGGUAAUAAGAUUAAUAAAGGGCAUAUUCUGGUCUUUCAAGCACUGUGAUGUGGGCACUUAUUAAGGAGAACGGAGAAGGGAUGGUUUGUUAAAUUGCUUUGCUGAUCCUGUGGACCUUUACAUACUACCCUAAUGCACACGAUGGGCAGACUCAGAGGUUCGAGGCUGUCUCACAGGUCCUCCCCAGAACUCUGCAGCACGUCUCUAUCUCCUCAUUCUCUCCCACACAUAACGCCAAGAUGCCCUUGACCAAGGGGCUCAGAAGAGGAAUAAGUGUGUUUUGCCUUCAAUUCAAACAUCCUUAGUGAUAUAGGUGCUCCACGAAUGUGUGUUGAAUGGGUGAGCUGGGAUUUAGGAAAGAGUGGGCGAUGGUGGAAAUGGGGGCAACAGGCUGGUAGAGAGUGAGGAAGAGAAUGGUAGUCCAUAGUAGGAAGGAAGACAAAGCUGGUGUCCUAACCUCCUUUGCUUUCUCCACCACCAAAAUCCUUUACAGUCCUGGCUUGGGAAAUCCAAAUAUGCUCAAUAUGUUCACACAGAGGAGGACUUUUCUCUUUGCAAACAUGCUUGGGGAGUAUUUUUAGUAGAACUUAAAUCUGUUUUUACUUUGGGUUCGAAGAGCAACUCACAUCCAAUGACAUUUUCUCUUUUGUGAGACAAUCAUGUAGUUAAGCACUUGUCAGCAAUGGCCACAGGAUAGGUUUCUUUUUGUAACUGCCCCAAAGUUUGAAGGGAAAGGUUUUUGUUUUUUUUUUUAAAUCAUUUCUCAAUUCAGAAACUGUAUUUUGGUAGAUAUGGAGGAAAGGACACUUUUGAUAAAUAUACAAGGAGAUGAAACAAGGAUUACCUUGAUUUUAAUUAUGACAAUAAUCCAAUUGCUCUUUUUCGUGUGUGUGAUUUUUAAAAACCACUUUAUUGAUAUAUAAUUUACAGUCCAUAAAAUUUACUGUUUAAGUAUACAAUUCAGUGGAUUUAAUUUACUUAUAGAGUCGCUACUAUCACCAUAAUCUAAGUUUGUAGCAUUUUCAUCCCCCUAAAUAGAAACUAUGUACCUGGUAGCAGUUACUCUUCAUUACCUCCAGCCCCCAGCCCUAGGCAACCACUAUUCUAUGGAUUUGUCUGUACGGAUUUGCCUCUUCUGGACAUUUCAUAUAAGUGGAAUCAUCUAAUAUGUGGUCUUUCUUGUGACUUCUUUCACUUCGCAUAAGGUUUUCAAGGUUCAUCUGAACAAUGUCUUAGCCAGUAUCAGUACUUUACUCCUUUGUAUGGCUGAAUAAUAUUCUGUUGUGUGGAUAUACCACAUUAAUUAAUUUUUUUACUUUUAAAAAUGAUUUAUUUAAAAAUUUUAAUUUUAUAUUGGAGUAUGGUUGAUUUAAAAUGUUGUGUUAGUUUCAGGUGUACAGCAAAGUGAUUUAGUUAUACGUAUACAUGUAUCUAUUCUUUUUCAGAUUCUUUUCCCAUAUAGGUUAUUAGAGUUCCCUGUGCUAUAUAGGUCCUUGUUGAUUAUCUGAAAAUAAUCCAAUUGCUUUUAAAUGACAAAAUACAAAGUUAUAAGGAGUUGGGAUCAUAAUUUCUGAAUGUGUGAGGUAAUUAUGUACAUUCUUAGUGGAGUUAGACUUAACUCCUGAAUUGUAAUUUAUUUGUGGUAGAGUGUCAUUCUUCAACCUUUUACUAAGUUGGGGGUCAGAAUAAUUUGAUACACAGUCGUACCUAAAUACUUCCAUAGAGAGGAAAAAAAGAGAUUAAAAUGCUGCCAGUUUACUGUGUGAUAUCACUUAUAUGUGGAAUCUAAAAAAUACAGCAAACUAAUGAAUAUAACAAAAAAGAAACAGACUCACAGAUGUAGGGAACAACCUAGUGGUUACCAGUGGGGAGAGGGCAGGGGAGGGGCGAUAUAAGGAUAGGGGAUUAAGAGGUACAAACUAUUAUGUAUAAAUAAGCUACAAGGAUACAUUGACCACACAGGGAAUAUAACCAAUAUUUUAUAAUAACUAUAAGAGGAGUAUAACCUUUAAAAAUUGUGAAUCACUAUACUGUACACUUGUAACAUAUAGUGUUGUACAUCAACUAUACGUCAACUAAAAAAAAGAGAGAGAAGAAUCUGGAAAAGACAAAAUCUAUGAGACCUUGCUCCACAUUGCUUGUCGUGAUGCUUGAGGCUAAAGAAGAUGACUUCUGCUUUAAUACGUUGAGGCCUAGAGGAACAUAAAAUGGACUCAGAUUCCCGGUGGUCUUCACUGGACAGCAAAGCAUGCUUGGAAGAUUUCCUGGUAAGAACCUGAGACCCUGUAAGAGCUCUGAGGUCAAGGACAAUGUCUCUCCUGUUCAUAGCUCUAUUCAGGACACCUAAUAAAGACUUCUAACCCAGUCUAUGAAGGAUGUUUCUGAAUCUUCCAAUCAGAGAACCUGGACUCUAAGUUGCAAGUGGAGAAGUCAUCUUGUGUUUAUAAAAUGACCAAAGGAAUAAAAAAGAAAUGCUAAGGAUGGCAGAACAUAAAGAGAGUAGACUGGGAUUUUAGUAAUAUCAUGGGUUUACUGCACCAGCCCUGCACUGCCUAUCUAUAGCCAUCUUUUUUUUUUUUUUGUAUGACAAAAUAAUCCCUCCUUUGGAUAAUUCACAAUAGGUUAGUGAGUGAAAUGUACAGCUAUUGGAACACCUAUAUAGUACCCCCAUGUACUAUAUGCAUAUACAUAUAUAUACUAUAUACUAUAUACAUGUCAAUGUCAUACCAUAACUCAGUUAUUUAUUUUCUUACCUCUUUAUCUUUGCUAAUUUUUUCUCUCCAAUUAGAUGAUUAUCUCCUUGUGGGUGGGUAUGAUCUUAUAUGCCUUUAUCAAUAUUUUAUCAUUAUUCUUAGACACUGUUAGAGGCAUCUAAGUAAUUGAGUGCAACUAACAUGCAAUUACAUCAAUCAGCCAGUAACUAUGUAAUAAUAUAAACUAUGCAUCCAGAAUAAUAGAGAUCAUGCAAGCUGGGGGAGUUUGCAGUUUGGAGUAGUUUUAUUUUGAUACUAGAAGUCAGAUCGUUGCAUAUGGGUUUUUAAUGUACUUGUUUUAAAAUGGUCGUUGAGUCUUUUCAUACAUUAGAUUGUUAUAUUUCAGUAUUUAAUUUCAUUAUAUUUUGCAUUAAAGGAGUGCUUGUAAUUUCAGCAGCCAGUGUUAAAAACAGAAUAAUUAGAUGAUAGAGUCAGGCAGCCUUAUAAAACCUAUUUAAACUAUAUCUUAAUGUAGUUCUUAUUAUGGGAUAAAUCAUAUAAUACUAUGAAGAUAUUCUUGCACUUCCAAUGCAAAUUUGAAAGAAAUAUUCUUUCAUUAGCUGUGUAAGAAGCCAUUCCUGCAAUUCAGGAAGUCAAGAAACUGAAAGCCUGGGCGUUGGAUGAAUUAUCUAUAUAGAGUUAAGUUCACCAAGAUGAUAAGAGUAAAUGAUAGAGAGGGAAAGAGUGAGCCAGGUACUAAAGUGACUGAUGAAUGAAGAAGAUUGAUCAAGAGGUAAAAAACAGCAAAAUGAAAGUCAGCAAGGGAUAUUGUCAAAUGAUUAUGUAUUGGUAUCAAGUAUUAUUAUUAAAAGCAUUAUUUUAUUAAAGUUUUGAUUUUUCUUUCCAAUAAUUAUUUAUGAAAGUAAUUUUAAGUUUCUAAAUUAAUGGUUUUCUUUUAUUUGUUCUUUAUUUUGAAUUUUAUUAUAUUUUGACUAUAUAACAUGGCCUGUUUAAUUCCAUUUAGUAGAACUUAUUGAGGAGUUCUUUGUGGCUUAAUACAUGGUCAAAUCUUAUCAGUGUUUCACUGUUGUUUUAAAAGAAUAUCAUUCUCAUUUUGAGGGGUCUAGAGUUUGAUAUAUAGCUCUUGAGUUCAUCUUACUAAUUAUAUUAUUCAGAGAGUGAGGAAAUCAAACCCACAGUUUAACUCAUUUUGUAUUAAACUCAGAAUAAUAUGUGUAUGCUAUUAUAUAGUUUGUUGUGUGGAAGAAAACUUGAAAAUUUAAAGAAUUUGAAAGAUUAACGCUGUGAUUCUGACUUUAAAAUAUUACUUGAUGCUAAGUUUGUUAUUUUAAGCUGAAAGUUGUUAAGAGAAUUUGCUUAAAUUUUAAAAGACUAUUGAAAUAUUUUAAAAUAAUUUGUAAUUAACUCUAAAAAGUUGUGUAAAAGCUAAGGAGGAUUUGCCUAGUAGUGUUGUGUAUGUAUCUGCCCGAUCAAGCACUUGAAGUUCUUCAAAAGAAAAUAAAAUAUACUAAUCUAAAUGCA